RNAcentral lists this ribosomal RNA (344 nucleotides) under uncultured bacterium. Its description in RNAcentral is "bacterial SSU rRNA". It matches the Rfam family "Bacterial small subunit ribosomal RNA", at positions 30 to 372 of the family's 1533-position model. The record is from RNAcentral.
AUUGAACGCUGGCGGCAUGCCUUACACAUGCAAGUUCGAACGGCAGCACGGGAGCAAUCCUGGUGGCGAGUGGCGAACGGGUGAGUAAUGUAUCGGGAACGUACCUUUCAGUGGGGGAUAACGUAGCGAAAGUUACGCUAAUACCGCAUAUUCUGUGAGCAGGAAAGCAGGGGAUCGCAAGACCUUGCGCUGAUUGAGCGGCCGAUAUCAGAUUAGCUAGUUGGUGAGGUAAAGGCUCACCAAGGCGACGAUCUGUAGCGGGUCUGAGAGGAUGAUCCGCCACACUGGAACUGAGACACGGUCCAGACUCCUACGGGAGGCAGCAGUGGGGAAUUUUGGACAAU